CUGCGGAGGAUCAUUACUGAGUGAGGGCCCUCUGGGUCCAACCUCCCACCCGUGUUUAUUGUACCUUGUUGCUUCGGUGCGCCCGCCUCACGGCCGCCGGGGGGCUUCUGCCCCCGGGUCCGCGCGCACCGGAGACACUAUUGAACUCUGUCUGAAGAUUGCAGUCUGAGCAUAAACUAAAUAAGUUAAAACUUUCAACAACGGAUCUCUUGGUUCCGGCAUCGAUGAAGAACGCAGCGAAAUGCGAUAACUAAUGUGAAUUGCAGAAUUCAGUGAAUCAUCGAGUCUUUGAACGCACAUUGCGCCCCCUGGUAUUCCGGGGGGCAUGCCUGUCCGAGCGUCAUUGCUGCCCUCAAGCACGGCUUGUGUGUUGGGCUCCGUCCCCCCGGGGACGGGUCCGAAAGGCAGCGGCGGCACCGAGUCCGGUCCUCGAGCGUAUGGGGCUUUGUCACCCGCUCUGUAGGCCCGGCCGGCGCCAGCCGACAACCAAUCAUCCUUUUUUCAGGUUGACCUCGGAUCAGGUAGGGAUACCCGCUGAACUUAAGCAUAUCAAUAAGCGGAGGAAAAGAAACCAACAGGGAUUACCUCAGUAACGGCGAGUGAAGCGGUAAGAGCUCAAAUUUGAAAGCUGGCUCCUUCGGGGUCCGCAUUGUAAUUUGCAGAGGAUGUUUCGGGGAGCAGCCCCCAUCUAAGUGUCCUGGAACGGACCGGUCAUAGAGGGUGAGAAUCCCGUA
Molecule: ribosomal RNA, 734 nt
Filed under: fungal sp.
Lineage: Eukaryota; Fungi
Description: eukaryotic LSU rRNA
Rfam family: Eukaryotic large subunit ribosomal RNA (bases 508-734)
Source: RNAcentral